GCUUAAUCGUAAAUAAUUAACUCACACCAAUCAGCGCCAGGGAACUACGAGCUACGCUUAAAACCCAAAGGACUUGACGGUGCCCCACCCAACUAGAGGAGCCUGUUCUAUAAUCGAUAAUCCCCGCUACACCCCACCACUUUUAGCCUUUCAGCCUGUAUACCUCCGUCGAAAGUCUACCACAUGAGUGCCCCAGUAGACUCAAUAAUCCCCCAUAACCAUGUCAGGUCAAGGUGCAGCCCACAAAGUGGCAAGCAAUGGGCUACAAUUUCUAAAUUAGAACAAACGAAAGCCUGUGUGAAACCUCAGGCACGAAGGCGGAUUUAGCAGUAAAAAGAAAAUAGAGAGUUCUUUUUAACCUGGCUCUGGAGCGCGUACACACCGCCCGUCGCCCUCUUCGACCAUAAUCACCCCGUCCCUAACCC
Molecule: ribosomal RNA, 425 nt
Filed under: Pulchrana rawa
Lineage: Eukaryota; Metazoa; Chordata; Amphibia; Anura; Ranidae
Description: partial 12S rRNA
Rfam family: Bacterial small subunit ribosomal RNA
Source: RNAcentral